CAAAUUUGAAAUCUGGCCUCGGCCCGAGUUGUAAUUUGUAGAGGAAGCUUUUGGCACGGCACCUGCUGAGUCCCCUGGAACGGGGCGCCAUAGAGGGUGAGAGCCCCGUAUAGCAGGACGCCUAGCCUCUGUAAAGCUCCUUCGACGAGUCGAGUAGUUUGGGAAUGCUGCUCAAAAUGGGAGGUAAAUUUCUUCUAAAGCUAAAUACCGGCCAGAGACCGAUAGCGCACAAGUAGAGUGAUCGAAAGAUGAAAAGCACUUUGAAAAGAGGGUUAAAUAGCACGUGAAAUUGUUGAAAGGGAAGCGCUUGUGACCAGACUCGCGCCGGGCUGAUCAUCCGAGCUUCUGCUCGGUGCACUCUGCCCGGCUCGGGCCAGCAUCGGUUCUUGCGGGGGGAUAAAGGCCCUGGGCUGAUG
RNAcentral lists this ribosomal RNA (416 nucleotides) under Cladorrhinum foecundissimum. Its description in RNAcentral is "eukaryotic LSU rRNA". It matches the Rfam family "Eukaryotic large subunit ribosomal RNA", at positions 110 to 538 of the family's 3401-position model. The record is from RNAcentral. Lineage: Eukaryota; Fungi; Ascomycota; Sordariomycetes; Sordariales; Podosporaceae.